UGAACGCUGGCGGCGUGCCUAAUACAUGCAAGUCGAGCGAACAGACGAGGAGCUUGCUCCUCUGACGUUAGCGGCGGACGGGUGAGUAACACGUGGAUAACCUACCUAUAAGACUGGGAUAACUUCGGGAAACCGGAGCUAAUACCGGAUAAUAUAUUGAACCGCAUGGUUCAAUAGUGAAAGACGGUUUUGCUGUCACUUAUAGAUGGAUCCGCGCCGCAUUAGCUAGUUGGUAAGGUAACGGCUUACCAAGGCAACGAUGCGUAGCCGACCUGAGAGGGUGAUCGGCCACACUGGAACUGAGACACGGUCCAGACUCCUACGGGAGGCAGCAGUAGGGAAUCUUCCGCAAUGGGCGAAAGCCUGACGGAGCAACGCCGCGUGAGUGAUGAAGGUCUUCGGAUCGUAAAACUCUGUUAUUAGGGAAGAACAAAUGUGUAAGUAACUAUGCACGUCUUGACGAUACCUAAUCAGAAAGCCACGGCUAACUACGUG
This 495-nucleotide ribosomal RNA is filed under the name uncultured bacterium. Its description in RNAcentral is "partial 16S ribosomal RNA". It matches the Rfam family "Bacterial small subunit ribosomal RNA", at positions 30 to 507 of the family's 1533-position model. The record is from RNAcentral.